Molecule: ribosomal RNA, 467 nt
Filed under: uncultured bacterium
Lineage: Bacteria
Description: partial 16S ribosomal RNA
Rfam family: Bacterial small subunit ribosomal RNA
Source: RNAcentral
GACGAACGCUGGCGGCGUGCUUAACACAUGCAAGUCGAACGGAAAGGCCUCUUUCGGGGGGUACUCGAGUGGCGAACGGGUGAGUAACACGUGAGUAACCUGCCCUUGACUUUGGGAUAACUUCAGGAAACUGGGGCUAAUACCGGAUAGGAGCUCCUGCUGCAUGGUGGGGGUUGGAAAGUUUCGGCGGUUGGGGAUGGACUCGCGGCUUAUCAGCUUGUUGGUGGGGUAGUGGCUUACCAAGGCUUUGACGGGUAGCCGGCCUGGGAGGGUGACCGGCCACAUUGGGACUGAGAUACGGCCCAGACUCCUACGGGAGGCAGCAGUGGGGAAUAUUGCACAAUGGGUGGAAGCCUGAUGCAGCAACGCCGUGUGCGGGAGGACGGCCUUCGGGUUGUAAACCGCUUUCGCUCAUGACGAAGCUUUGUGUGACGGUAGUGGGUAAAGAAGCACCGGCUAACUACGUG